GAUCCUGGCUUAGGAUGAACGCUAGCUACAGGCUUAACACAUGCAAGUCGAGGGGCAGCAUUGGGAUAGCUUGCUAUUCAGAUGGCGACCGGCGCACGGGUGAGUAACGCGUAUCCAACCUUCCUGCCAGUAGGGAACAGCCCGGCGAAAGUCGGAUUAAUGCCCUAUGUUCUUCAAUGCGGACAUCUAAGUUGAAGGAAAGAUUCAUCGCUGGCAGAUGGGGAUGCGUCCGAUUAGCUUGCCGGCGGGUAACGGCCCACCGGGGCGACGAUCGGUAGGGGUUCUGAGAGGAAGGUCCCCCACACUGGUACUGAGACACGGACCAGACUCCUACGGGAGGCAGCAGUGAGGAAUAUUGGUCAAUGGGCGUAAGCCUGAACCAGCCAAGUAGCGUGCAAGGACGACGGCCCUACGGGUUGUAAGCUGCUUUUAUGCGGGGAUAAAGUGCGGCACGUGUGCCGCUUUGCAGGUACCGCAUGAAUAAGGACCGGCUAAUUCCGUGCCAGCCGCGGC
This 513-nucleotide ribosomal RNA is filed under the name uncultured bacterium. RNAcentral's name for it is "bacterial SSU rRNA". It matches the Rfam family "Bacterial small subunit ribosomal RNA", at positions 15 to 518 of the family's 1533-position model. The record is from RNAcentral.